CAAAGAUUACCAUUGGAAGAUGUGGAAGUGCAAAUGCACCACCUGGAUGUGUUGUGGCUGUUCUGUAGGCACUCACGACCCUCUGUGCCAUAGAUGCCCAGGCUGGAAUUGCAGGAAUGGAAAUCUAGAGCUGAAGACUAGAACAGAAGAUGAUGGUAGGGACAGAUGAGCCUGUGACAAGAUAGAUUGAAUAGUAGUAUCUCUAA
This 206-nucleotide long non-coding RNA is filed under the name Homo sapiens (human). RNAcentral describes it as "HSALNT0094986". The record is from RNAcentral. Lineage: Eukaryota; Metazoa; Chordata; Mammalia; Primates; Hominidae.